Molecule: ribosomal RNA, 397 nt
Filed under: uncultured bacterium
Lineage: Bacteria
Description: partial 16S ribosomal RNA
Rfam family: Bacterial small subunit ribosomal RNA
Source: RNAcentral
AUACGUAGGGGGCGAGCGUUGUCCGGAAUGAUUGGGCGUAAAGGGCGCGUAGGCGGCGCGGUAAGUCUGGAGUGAAAGUCCUGCUUUCAAGGUGGGAAUUGCUUUGGAUACUGCCGCGCUUGAGUGCAGGAGAGGUUAUCGGAAUUCCCGGUGUAGCGGUGAAAUGCGUAGAGAUUGGGAGGAACACCAGUGGCGAAGGCGACUUACUGGACUGUAACUGACGCUGAGGCGCGAAAGUGUGGGGAGCAAACAGGAUUAGAUACCCUGGUAGUCCACACUGUAAACGAUGAAUGCUAGGUGUAGGGGGUAUCGACCCCUUCUGUGCCGCAGUCAACACAAUAAGCAUUCCGCCUGGGGAGUACGGCCGCAAGGUUGAAACUCAAAUGAAUUGGCGGGG